Molecule: long non-coding RNA, 1374 nt
Organism: Hirundo rustica (Barn swallow)
Lineage: Eukaryota; Metazoa; Chordata; Aves; Passeriformes; Hirundinidae
Exons: 6
Source: RefSeq, a predicted model, not a curated record
AGGAGGAGUAACAUUGAGGAAGAGAGAACAAGAGGAUCAUGGAGAAGAAGGAUCUUGGGAUGGAGAAUCUCUGCUGUGAGGUCAAUCUGGGUGUGCAGUCAGAGCCUGUUGUUGGAACCUGCAGUCACAGUCUAGCCAGGGUUGUCCAUGAACUUACUGAUUUCCAGAGCAGUGCUUUUCCAAGCAGCCACCAGAUCUGGAGUCAAGCUGUAGCCUUUGCAUGAUUCUUCCAUUCCUGCAACAGCCACUCCUGACGUUACUCUGAGAGGGGACAAAUAAAGAGAAUUAGAUGUGCUUCUUAAAAGGUGGUCCAGAAGGUUUUUUUUUCCUUCAUAAGUUUGUUGCCUCACUUUUCACGUGCUUGUUGCUGCAGCAGGGAAGAGAGCAGCGAGGCAGCUCUGGAGUUGUUUCACCAUCUGUUUCUCAGCUCUUUCUUCAAAAUCGCUGAUCAGAACCUCUGAACCCAUGUCUUCCUUCAGAGGUUCUUCUCCCCAAAAUUAGUGAUCUUUGAUGUGUGAUGGAACUACAGCUCAAAUGGAAGAGUGUGGCACUACUUGGAAUACACAAUUUGCUUAGAAAAACCCCAAAGAAAAGAAUUUGGUGCAAGAAGUUCGUUGUUCUGGGAAUGCAACCUUCCUGGUAUGGUAUUCUGCACAAGACACUUGAUCUCCGACGCUGCCAUUAGGACAGGACUACUCUGGAAUGUUGCCUACCCCCAGUGCCUGCUGAAGAGUGGGAAGGAGAUCUGGUGAUGGAUCCAUUGGCUUCUGCUUGUGCUGCCCAAGCCACUGGAGUGGACAUGGCCUGUGUUGAGGUCCCUCUUGGUUUCUGGGGAGCAGAACGUGGUUUCCUGGGACAGGCAAAGGGUCAGACAGAGUCACAGCGCCUUUUUCACAAGGACUUACGUGAGGAGCAUCAGAAGUAUGCAAAACAUUGCCUGUGAGACUUCUCUUCGAUGGCUUCAUAUUUUCUUGCUUGUAUUUGAGGUGUUAACUCAUUUAAUGCACUGGAAUAGAAUGAACUGUUAGAAGGCUGAUGAAGAUCACGGUCAGCUCGUGUUUCUGUCUCUUGGCACUGAACUGUCCCUACAAAUAUUGUAGGGGAAGAGAUGCCCCUAAUCUGAAGUGGGGCAUACAGAGGACUGCAGACUUUUCUUCCUUUUGUAAAUCUGCUGUAAUAAAAAAGAUUUGCUUCCAUGAUUUUCCAUAAGUAAUUGCUUAGUUAUAUAUUUCCUUUUUAUUGUAGAACCCAGAGACUUUCUCUGGAUCUUAGAUGCAAUUGUUGACUCCAUUUCUGUUUGGAAGACCUUCCAGUAUUUUACUCUCUGAUCGUAAUAAAGCAGGAUGUAUAAGUUCUUCUUAAUUAUGAAAUAAA